UACUUGGCUUAGUUAGAUUGGAUCUAUAUACAUGCUUAGGAUCGUAUAGCGUUUAUCCAUCGGAUCCAUGGGUAAAUGAUAGAUAUUGUGUAUGCGUGGUGCUUAUACCGUAUUUAUCUGCGAUUGUACCCAAUAUGCCAGAUCGUGGGGUAGUUCGUGAUAGUGACAGCUUCAUUGAUUCUUAUAUAGUCCCCCUCUCGUGUAUUGGGC
Molecule: long non-coding RNA, 210 nt
Filed under: Sorghum bicolor (sorghum)
Lineage: Eukaryota; Viridiplantae; Streptophyta; Magnoliopsida; Poales; Poaceae
Description: long non-coding RNA (SBIC_LNC013710)
Source: RNAcentral